Molecule: ribosomal RNA, 458 nt
Filed under: uncultured bacterium
Lineage: Bacteria
Description: partial 16S ribosomal RNA
Rfam family: Bacterial small subunit ribosomal RNA
Source: RNAcentral
CCUACGGGUGGCAGCAGUGAGGAAUAUUGGUCAAUGGGCGAGAGCCUGAACCAGCCAAGUCGCGUGAGGGAGUACUGCCCUAUGGGUUGUAAACCUCUUUUGUCGGGGAGCAAAAGCCGGACGUGUCCGGCUGUGAGAGUACCCGAAGAAAAAGCAUCGGCUAACUCCGUUCCAGCAGCCGCGGUAAUACGGAGGAUGCGAGCGUUAUCCGGAUUUAUGGGGUUUAAAGGGUGCGCAGGCGGAUUUUUAAGUCAGCGGGAAAAUCGUAGGGGCAAACCCCAUCCAGCCGUUGAAACUGGGGAUCUAGAGUGUGCGAGAGGUAGGCGGAAUGCGUGGUGUAGCGGUGAAAUGCAUAGAUAUCACGCAGAACCCCGAUUGCGAAGGCAGCAUACCGGUGCACAACUGACGCUGAGGCACGAAAGCGUGGGUAUCGAACAGGAUUAGAUACCCGUGUAGUC